AAACCAACAGGGAUUGCCCUAGUAACGGCGAGUGAAGCGGCAACAGCUCAAAUUUGAAAUCUGGUCCCCCCGCGGGGGCCCGAGUUGUAAUUUGAAGAGGAUGCUUUUGGCGAGGCGCCUUCCGAGUGCCCUGGAACGGGACGCCACAGAGGGUGAGAGCCCCGUAUGGUUGGACGCCGAGCCUCUGUAAAGCUCCUUCGACGAGUCGAGUAGUUUGGGAAUGCUGCUCAAAAUGGGAGGUAAACCCCUUCUAAAGCUAAAUACUGGCCAGAGACCGAUAGCGCACAAGUAGAGUGAUCGAAAGAUGAAAAGCACUUUGAAAAGAGAGUUAAACAGCACGUGAAAUUGUUGAAAGGGAAGCGCUUGCGACCAGACUCGCGCCCGCCGGAUCAGCCGUCGCUCGUCGGCGGCGCACUCCGGCGGGCUCGGGCCAGCAUCGGUUCGCCCGGGGGGAGAAAGGCGGCGGGAACGUGGCUCUGCGGAGUGUUAUAGCCCGCCGCGUAAUACCCUAGGGCGGACCGAGGACCGCGCGUAUGCAAGGAUGCUGGCGUAAUGGUCGUCAGCGACCCGUCUUGAAACACGGACCAAGGAGUCGUCCUAGUAUGCGAGUGUUCGGGUGUCAAACCCCUGCGCGUAAUGAAAGUGAACGGAGGUGAGAGCUUCGGCGCAUCAUCGACCGAUCCUGAUGUUCUCGGAUGGAUUUGAGUAAGAGCAUACUGGGCCGGACCCGAAAGAAGGUGAACUAUGCCUGUAUAGGGUAAAGCCAGAGGAAACUCUGGUGGAGGCUCGCAGCGGUUCUGACGUGCAAAUCGAUCG
Molecule: small RNA, 816 nt
Filed under: Wardomycopsis humicola
Lineage: Eukaryota; Fungi; Ascomycota; Sordariomycetes; Microascales; Microascaceae
Description: eukaryotic LSU rRNA
Rfam family: Eukaryotic large subunit ribosomal RNA
Source: RNAcentral